RNAcentral lists this ribosomal RNA (495 nucleotides) under Andinobates minutus (bluebelly poison frog). RNAcentral describes it as "partial 16S ribosomal RNA". It matches the Rfam family "Bacterial large subunit ribosomal RNA", at positions 1911 to 2572 of the family's 2925-position model. The record is from RNAcentral. Lineage: Eukaryota; Metazoa; Chordata; Amphibia; Anura; Dendrobatidae.
CCCAAAACAUUGUUCAUCGGCCGCGGUAUCUCCGGGAAGUACGUAAUCUCUUGUUCUUAUUGAGGACUAGUAUGAAUGGCCCCCGAGGACUACACUGUCUCCUCUUUCUAAUCAAUGAAACUGAUCUCCCCGUGAAGAAGCGGGGAUAAAUCUAUAAGACGAGAAGACCCUAUGGAGCUUUAAACAACAAGAAUAUUUGCUUCCUUCCUACCAUUUUCUGUAAAAUAAAACCAACUCAAGCAUUUUAUCUCUUAGUUUUAGGUUGGGGUGACCACGGAGAAAAAAUAAACCUCCUCGUUGAAAGAAGCCCCCAUCUUCUAAGCAAAAAGACACAACUUUAUGCAUCAACACAUUGACUCCCAUUGACCCAAUAAUUUGAUCAACGAACCAAGUUACCCUAGGGAUAACAGCGCAAUCUACUUCGAGAGUCAUAUCGACAACGGCUUACGACCUCGAUAUGGAUGGGCUCCAAGUGUGCAGCCCUAGUAUAAAUAU